This 415-nucleotide ribosomal RNA is filed under the name uncultured Archaeospora. Its description in RNAcentral is "SSU rRNA". It matches the Rfam family "Eukaryotic small subunit ribosomal RNA", at positions 569 to 988 of the family's 1831-position model. Lineage: Eukaryota; Fungi; Glomeromycota; Glomeromycetes; Archaeosporales; Archaeosporaceae. The record is from RNAcentral.
AGCAGCCGCGGUAAUUCGAGCUCCAAUAGCGUAUAUUAAAGUUGUUGCAGUUAAAAAGCUCAUAGUUGAAUUUUAGGCCUGGCCGGACGGUCCGUCUCUGGCGAGUACUGUUCUGUCGUCGGGUCUAUCCUUCUGGUGAGCCCGUAUGUUCUUAAUUGGGCGUAUCGGGGAACCAGGACCAUUACCUUGAAAAAUUAGAGUGUUUAAAGCAGGCUUUUGCUUGAAUAGAUUAGCAUGGAAUAAUAGAAUAGGACGUUGUGGUUCUAUUUUGUUGGUUCUAGGACCACCGUAAUGAUUAAUAGGGAUAGUUGGGGGCAUUAGUAUUCAAUUGUCAGAGGUGAAAUUCUUGGAUUUAUUGAAGACUAACUACUGCGAAAGCAUUUGCCAAGGAUGUUUUCAUUAAUCAAGAACGAAA